CAGCAUUCUGAGUAGCUGGGAUCACAGGUGCUCCCCAUCACACCCUGCUAAUUUAAUUUUCUUUGUAGAGACAGGGUCUUGCUAUGUUGCCUAGGCUGGUCUUGAACUCCUGGGCUCAAGUGAUCCUCCCACCUCAGCCUCCCAGUGUUAGGAUUACAGGAGUGAGCCACUGCCUCUGCCUUCAAGUAGCAGUUUUAUUAGCAAACUGUAAGCCUAAAGUAAUAGUUAAAAUUCUCACUGUGAUAUUCAUUACUCCCUGAACCUGUACCCUUCAGCUUAUCACUACAGUACUUCUGUAGUAGAGCGAGCAGAGCAUGGGUUUUGGUAUCAGACAGGCCUGAGUUUGAAUUCUGAUUCUACCUUUCAUUUACCAAAUGACUUUGGGCAAAGUACUUAACCUCUCUGAGCUUUAGUUCUCUUCUCUGUAAAAGAAUAAAAUAUUUCAGUCUUAUCGUAUAGAUGAUAUACAGAGGGCACAUAACAAAUGUUAGAUCUCUCAAAUGUUUUUCUGUAACCCAAAUAUGCUUACAACUGAUUAAAGAAUGUUCU
This 549-nucleotide non-coding RNA is filed under the name Pongo abelii (Sumatran orangutan). Lineage: Eukaryota; Metazoa; Chordata; Mammalia; Primates; Hominidae. The record is from RNAcentral.